Molecule: long non-coding RNA, 861 nt
Organism: Gossypium arboreum
Lineage: Eukaryota; Viridiplantae; Streptophyta; Magnoliopsida; Malvales; Malvaceae
Exons: 2
Source: RefSeq, a predicted model, not a curated record
AUUAGCAGCAAUUUCAUUGAAACUUCAGGCAAUUACGGAACUGGCCUAAGCAACGCUGUCUGCUGUAAUCAGCCCUUUAGCCCUUCCCCACGAACCCGUUGUGGUUCAUGGAACCAAUGCCUCCUAGUACUCUGCUUGUCAAGCCUUUCUAUUAUUAAUAUGUCCGUUAGCGGCAUUCGGAACUGCAUCAUGGAGACAGCAAACUUUGCACCGCUCUUGCAGAUCCUUGAUCUCAGGGGAUAAGUCGUAGCACAAAAGCUAAGGCAUGGCGUCUAUAGUCGCAGUAAAUACUAUAUCAGAUUAAUACAGAAAUACCUUCGAAGGAAAGAACCCUAACUCUAUUGUCUCUUCCUUGAGUCUUGAGUUACGGAAAUAAGCAGAGUGGCAGGACUAACGGUAUUUUCCAUGAUGGUUGGAAAGCUCUAAGUUCAUGGGCAAUAUCUUCAAUCAGUGCUAACUACAUUUGGAGCGGGGGCUUUGCCUUCGCAGCUGCUUUUUAAGCGUGAUACGACGUCUGCUAUGUAUCUCCUCCCGAUAAAGAAAAAAAAAAGGUGUUUUUCUAUAGAAGAUAAAAAGCAGGGCGAUGAUGGUCUUAAAUUCAGUAGCUAAUUUUUCGUUCUCAACUGUCUUGUUGGGAAUGCUAACCAUAUGAGAGAGAACCAUUAGUCAACAAAGCAAUUGCAGUACAAUGGAUUCCCUUUUGGUUGCUUCAACAGUUCUGAAUGAUGUUACAAUUCGUCAAAACUCAAAUAAACCGAUUGCAUUGUAAGCUGAACCGUAUCUUUUUGCACCAUUGGAAAAUAUUUAAAUCUCUAAAUGAAUAAAAGAUAGGGUGACGCUGACAACAGGAUGUGUAUAUAA